UUUCGCAAUGCCCGAAAGGGUGACGAAGCGACGCCGCGUGCGGGAAGAAGGCCUUCGGGUUGUAAACCGCUGUCGGGAGUUAAGAAAUGUAGGGAUGUUAAUAGCAUCCUUGCUUGACUAAGGCUCCGGAGGAAGCCACGACUAACUCUGUGCCAGCAGCCGCGGUAAUACAGAGGCGGCAAGCGUUGUUCGGAAUUAUUGGGCGUAAAGAGCACGUAGGCGGCUAUGUAAGUCGGUUGUGAAAGCCUUCCGCUCAACGGGAGAACAGCAUCCGAUACUGCAUGGCUUGAGUGCGGGAGGGGAGAGUGGAACUUCUGGUGGAGCGGUGAAAUGCGUAGAUAUCAGAAGGAACGCCGGCGGCGAAAGCGGCUCUCUGGCCCAUAACUGACGCUGAGUGUGCGAAAGCUAGGGGAGCAAACGGGAUUAGAUACCCCGGUAGUCCUAGCCGUAAACGAUGGGCACUAAGUAGAGGGGUUUUA
RNAcentral lists this ribosomal RNA (479 nucleotides) under uncultured anaerobic ammonium-oxidizing bacterium. RNAcentral's name for it is "bacterial SSU rRNA". It matches the Rfam family "Bacterial small subunit ribosomal RNA", at positions 364 to 833 of the family's 1533-position model. The record is from RNAcentral.